RNAcentral lists this small RNA (913 nucleotides) under uncultured Clostridium sp. RNAcentral's name for it is "bacterial SSU rRNA". The stretch from base 1 to 486 matches the Rfam family "Bacterial small subunit ribosomal RNA", at positions 1045 to 1533 of the family's 1533-position model. The record is from RNAcentral. Lineage: Bacteria; Bacillati; Bacillota; Clostridia; Eubacteriales; Clostridiaceae.
AUGGCUGUCGUCAGCUCGUGUCGUGAGAUGUUGGGUUAAGUCCCGCAACGAGCGCAACCCUUAUCAUUAGUUGCUACCAUUAAGUUGAGCACUCUAGUGAGACUGCCCGGGUUAACCGGGAGGAAGGUGGGGAUGACGUCAAAUCAUCAUGCCCCUUAUGUCUAGGGCUACACACGUGCUACAAUGGUGAGUACAAAGAGAUGCAAGACCGCAAGGUGGAGCCAAACUCAAAAACUCAUCCCAGUUCGGAUUGUAGGCUGCAACUCGCCUACAUGAAGCCGGAGUUGCUAGUAAUCGCGAAUCAGCAUGUCGCGGUGAAUACGUUCCCGGGCCUUGUACACACCGCCCGUCACACCAUGAGAGCUGGUAACACCCGAAGUCCGUGAGAUAACCGUAAGGAGUCAGCGGCCGAAGGUGGGAUCGGUGAUUGGGGUGAAGUCGUAACAAGGUAGCCGUAGGAGAACCUGCGGCUGGAUCACCUCCUUUCUAGGGAGUAGAUAUAGAGGCUUCGGUCUUUAUAACAGAAGAAUUUAAUUAUUCUUCAAAAUAUCUAUCGUAAUUAAUCGUACCUAUUCUCUGUUUAAUUUUGAGAGACUAAUUUUAAUUAACUUUUUGGGUUAAUUAAUGAAUAGUUUUUCUUAAAAUGUUCUUUGAAAAUUGCACAGUGAAAUAAAUUGUUUGAAAAGAUUAAAGCCAUUUUAAUGGUUUAUAGAUUGAUUUAAUACAAUUUCGCAAAAUUAAUUUAAGUAAUAUAAAUGUCUAUUAUUAUAGACAUAAUCAAAGGUCAAGCUACAAAGGGCGCAUGGCGAAUGCCUUGGCACUAGGAGCCGAAGAAGGACGCGUUAAGCUGCGAUAAGCUUUGGGUAGGCGCAAAUAGCCAGUGAUCCAAAGAUUUCCGAAUGGGGAAACCCGG